GUUUUUGUUCUUCCUUUACAGGUUGGAAUUUAAACUUUCUGCAAGGCAUUCAGAUGAUAAUGGAGAUGGGUCUUUGAAGCAGUUUCUCCUUGCUUCCCUUUUAUGAAGCAUCUGGAAACAGCAAGUCCCAAAAGCCACCAGUAUUAACAGUAAUAGUGGUAUAGUGGGUAUUACGACAUAAAUUAGAUUUGGAAUUAUACCUGUUUCAGUAGCUAUAACAUGAUACUGAUCUUCUGGUUUGUUUGUGUCAUAUGGAUUUCCUGCUGGCACCGUUGGAAAAAUACCGUAAUCUGGCUCUGCUCUGUCUCCUAAUUCUUUUUCUAAGACAUUGUCUGGGCCAUACUUGCAGAUAAAAUUGUGCUUCAUGUUGCAUCUAUCGUCAUUCCACUGAUAAAGAUACGGCCCUCCCAGACCAGGGUUUGCAGUUGGCUGAUGAUACAUAACAACACAGGCUUCACUUCCACAGGAAGGCUCAUCUGUAUACCAAUUUCUGAAGGGUGAAAUACUUCCAUCAGCCCAAUGGUAGAGGUCAGGGCAAGCACUGGAGGUGGCCAGUCCAUCACUACUUCUCCACAACCCAAUCCAGAAAUCACCAUCAGAAAUCCCAGAGCCUGACUUAGUGAGGUUCUGUAACAUGUUUUCUAUUAGUUGCUGCUCAGCUUCACUUUCCAAGCUCAGUAAAGCCCCACCAUCCAUUUCACAAGCUUGGCGGGCCUCCUGAAAGCCCACGCGUCUAGACAAGUCCUGGAAAUAAGCUAUCUUGUAGCAGGAACGCUUGAAGCCACCAUAGCACACCUUUUGACCGCUGAGAACGCGCCCGCCGAGCGCUCCGCUCCCGUACAGCGCGGCGACCGCCAGCACCGCGGCCAGCCCCAGUCCCAGCCCCAUGGCGAAGGCUCCGCGCCCAGAGGCCCCGCUCAGGGCAGGCCAAGCCCCGCGCACAUGCCGGGGAAAAGCAGCCCGCUCGCUCCUCGCUU
This 977-nucleotide long non-coding RNA is filed under the name Gallus gallus (chicken). Lineage: Eukaryota; Metazoa; Chordata; Aves; Galliformes; Phasianidae. The record is from RNAcentral.